Molecule: ribosomal RNA, 465 nt
Filed under: uncultured bacterium
Lineage: Bacteria
Description: partial 16S ribosomal RNA
Rfam family: Bacterial small subunit ribosomal RNA
Source: RNAcentral
GACGAACGCUGGCGGCGUGCUUAACACAUGCAAGUCGAACGGAAAGGCCCCCUUGUGGGGUACUCGAGUGGCGAACGGGUGAGUAACACGUGAGUAACCUACCCUUGACUUUGGGAUAACUUCAGGAAACUGGGGCUAAUACCGGAUAGGAGCUCCUGCUGCAUGGUGGGGGUUGGAAAGUUUCGGCGGUUGGGGAUGGACUCGCGGCUUAUCAGCGUGUUGGUGGGGUAGUGGCUCACCAAGGCCUUGACGGGUAGCCGGCCUGAGAGGGUGACCGGCCACAUUGGGACUGAGAUACGGCCCAGACUCCUACGGGAGGCAGCGGUGGGGAAUAUUGCACAAUGGGCGGAAGCCUGAUGCAGCAACGCCGCGUGCGGGAUGACGGCCUUCGGGUUGUAAACCGCUUUCGCCUGUGACGAAGCGUGAGUGACGGUAAUGGGUAAAGAAGCACCGGCUAACUACGUG